CCGACAAGCGCAGCCAUGGCCGGGCGGCUGGUGGACGGGACGCAAGUGUCUUACAUUGGCCAGGACUGCAAAGCAAUUCCAGAAUUCCUUGGGACAAAAUACGGACCCAUCGCAAAAAGGUUGGACCUCAGUUUCAAUUUAUUAAGAUGCCUGGAAG
This is a non-coding RNA of Notechis scutatus (mainland tiger snake), 157 nucleotides long. NCBI's taxonomy places the organism in Eukaryota, Metazoa, Chordata, Lepidosauria, Squamata, Elapidae. The record is from RefSeq and is a predicted model, not a curated record.